CAAUAGCGUAUAUUAAAGUUGUUGCAGUUAAAAAGCUCGUAGUUGGAUUUGUGGCGUACGGUGUGUUCCGGGCACUUGUUGUCUGAGUAACCUGCUGUUGCCAUCCUUGGGUGGAACCUGUGUGGCAUUAGGUUGUAGUGCAGGGGAUGCCCAUCAUUUACUGUGAAAAAAUUAGAGUGUUCAAAGCAGGCUUAUGCCGUUGAAUAUAUUAGCAUGGAAUAAUGAGAUAGGACUUUUUUGCUAUUUUGUUGGUUUGCGCAAAGAGGUAAUGAUUAAUAGGGACAGUUGGGGGUAUUCGUAUUCCAUUGUCAGAGGUGAAAUUCUUGGAUUUUUGGAAGACGAACUACUGCGAAAGCAUUUACCAAGGAUGUUUUCAUUAA
RNAcentral lists this ribosomal RNA (380 nucleotides) under uncultured eukaryote. RNAcentral describes it as "partial 18S ribosomal RNA". It matches the Rfam family "Eukaryotic small subunit ribosomal RNA", at positions 592 to 976 of the family's 1831-position model. The record is from RNAcentral.